GACGAACGCUGGCGGCGUGCUUAACACAUGCAAGUCGAACGGAAAGGCCCUGCUUUUGUGGGGUGCUCGAGUGGCGAACGGGUGAGUAACACGUGAGUAACCUGCCCUUGACUUUGGGAUAACUUCAGGAAACUGGGGCUAAUACCGGAUAGGAGCUCCUGCUGCAUGGUGGGGGUUGGAAAGUUUCGGCGGGUGGGGAUGGACUCGCGGCUUAUCAGCUUGUUGGUGGGGUAGUGGCUUACCAAGGCUUUGACGGGUAGCCGGCCUGAGAGGGUGACCGGCCACAUUGGGACUGAGAUACGGCCCAGACUCCUACGGGAGGCAGCAGUGGGGAAUAUUGCACAAUGGGCGGAGGCCUGAUGCAGCAACGCCGCGUGCGGGAUGACGGCCUUCGGGUUGUAAACCGCUUUCGCCUGUGACGAAGCGUGAGUGACGGUAAUGGGUAAAGAAGCACCGGCUAACUACGUG
This 468-nucleotide ribosomal RNA is filed under the name uncultured bacterium. RNAcentral's name for it is "partial 16S ribosomal RNA". It matches the Rfam family "Bacterial small subunit ribosomal RNA", at positions 28 to 507 of the family's 1533-position model. The record is from RNAcentral.